RNAcentral lists this unclassified non-coding RNA (439 nucleotides) under plant metagenome. Its description in RNAcentral is "partial contains small subunit ribosomal RNA, internal transcribed spacer 1, and 5.8S ribosomal RNA". The record is from RNAcentral.
UUUCCGUAGGUGAACCUGCGGAAGGAUCAUUGCACACACGAUGCAGCAAACUAGCGAACUGUGUUUGUCCCCCACCUACCCCAAACACGAGGGGCCGCAUCUGGAGGUGCGGCUGUCGACGGCAAGGUCCCGACCUUCGGGUCCCCGCAGUGGUUCCCGCAAGCGGGCUGAUCAUGUUGCCGUCUGGGUGUCCCGCGCGGGCUCUCGCCUUGCCUUAGGGUUGGGCGACGCGGGCAUUCUCCUCCCUUCGAUGGCGUCGUCCCCCCCUCCGGGAGAGCGACACGCCUCGAGGGCCGUUUACAACUUUGCACCAUGUACAACACCAGUGACUUAGUAUACCUGUGUCCCGGUUCCGCUGCUGCCCUCGGGUGGUGCGGGAUCGGUCCAUAGGAACAAGAGUAAAUAAAAACAACUCUCAGCAACGGAUAUCUUGGCUCUU